GGAUUGACAGAUUGAAAGCUCUUUCUUGAUUCGGUGGGUGGUGGUGCAUGGCCGUUCUUAGUUGGUGGAGCGAUUUGUCUGGUUAAUUCCGAUAACGAACGAGACUCUAGCCUGCUAAAUAGUUCACCGGUACCCUAUUGCCGGUGCAACUUCUUAGAGGGACAAGUGGCGUUCAGCCACGCGAGAUUGAGCAAUAACAGGUCUGUGAUGCCCUUAGAUGUCCGGGGCCGCACGCGCGCUACACUGAAGGAAUCAACUGGUCCCUCCUGUCCUGAAAAGGAUGGGUAACCCGAUGAACCUCCUUCGUGCUAGGGAUUGGGGUUUGUAAUUCUUCCCCAUGAACGAGGAAUUCCCAGUAAGCGCGAGUCAUCAACUCGCGUUGAUUACGUCCCUGCCCUUUGUACACACCGCCCGUCGCA
This 419-nucleotide ribosomal RNA is filed under the name Pygospio elegans. RNAcentral describes it as "SSU rRNA". It matches the Rfam family "Eukaryotic small subunit ribosomal RNA", at positions 1237 to 1680 of the family's 1831-position model. The record is from RNAcentral. Lineage: Eukaryota; Metazoa; Annelida; Polychaeta; Spionida; Spionidae.